RNAcentral lists this ribosomal RNA (440 nucleotides) under uncultured bacterium. Its description in RNAcentral is "partial 16S ribosomal RNA". It matches the Rfam family "Bacterial small subunit ribosomal RNA", at positions 338 to 795 of the family's 1533-position model. The record is from RNAcentral.
CCUACGGGAGGCAGCAGUGGGGAAUAUUGCACAAUGGGCGAAACCCUGAUGCAGCGACGCCGCGUGAGUGAAGAAGUCAUUCGUUAUGUUAAGCUCUAUCAGCCGGGAAGAAAAGGACGGUACCUGAGUCAGAAGGCCCGGCUAACUACGUGCCAGCAGCCGCGGUCAUACGUAGGGGGCAAGCGUUAUCCGGAUUUACUGGGUGUAAAGGGAGCGUAGACGGCAGUGAAAGUCUGGAGUGAAAGACGGGGGCUCAACCCCCGGACUGCUCUGGAAACUGUACGGCUGGAGUGCAGGAGAGGUAAGUGGAAUUCCUGGUGUAGCGGUGAAAUGCGUAGAUAUUAGGAGGAACACCAGUGGCGAAGGCGGCUUACUGGACUGUAACUGACGUUGAGGCUCGAAAGCGUGGGGAGCAAACAGGAUUAGAUACCCGUGUAGUC